AGAGUUUGAUCAUGGCUCAGAAUCAACGCUGGCGGCGCGCUUAACACAUGCAAGUCGCACGAGAAAGGGGAGCAAUCCCUGAGUACAGUGGCGUACGGGUGAGUAACACGUGGAUGAUCUACCUUCUAGUGGGGAAUAACCAUGGGAAACCGUGGCUAAUACCGCAUAAGCUCGAGAGAGGAAAGCAGCAAUGCGCUGGAAGAGGAGUCCGCGGCCGAUUAGCUAGUUGGCAGGGUAAAAGCCUACCAAGGCAGAGAUCGGUAGCCGGCCUGAGAGGGCACACGGCCACACUGGCACUGAAACACGGGCCAGACUCCUACGGGAGGCAGCAGUGGGGAAUCUUGCACAAUGGGGGAAACCCUGAUGCAGCGACGCCGCGUGAGCGAUGAAGCCCUUCGGGGUGUAAAGCUCUUUCGGCAGGGAAGAUGAUGACGGUACCUGCAGAAGCAGCUGCGGCUAACUACGUGCCAGCAGCCGCGGUA
This 482-nucleotide ribosomal RNA is filed under the name uncultured Acidobacteriota bacterium. Its description in RNAcentral is "bacterial SSU rRNA". It matches the Rfam family "Bacterial small subunit ribosomal RNA", at positions 8 to 522 of the family's 1533-position model. Lineage: Bacteria; Pseudomonadati; Acidobacteriota. The record is from RNAcentral.